GAUGAACGCUGGCGGCGUGCUUAACACAUGCAAGUCGAACGGAAAGGCUCCUGCUUGCAGGGGUACUCGAGUGGCGAACGGGUGAGUAACACGUGGGUGAUCUGCCCUGCACUUCGGGAUAAGCCUGGGAAACUGGGUCUAAUACCGGAUAGGACGAUGGUUUGGAUGCCAUUGUGGAAAGUUUUUUCGGUGUGGGCUGAGCUCGCGGCCUAUCAGCUUGUUGGUGGGGUAAUGGCCUACCAAGGCGUCGACGGGUAGCCGGCCUGGGAGGGUGUACGGCCACAAUAGGACUGAGAUACGGCGCAGACGCGUACGGGAGGCAGCGGUGGGGAGUAUUGCACAAUGGGCGCGAGCCUGAUACGGAGGCGCCGCGUGGGGGAUGACGGCCUUCGGGUUGUAAACUCCUUUCGCUAGGGACGAAGCGCAAGUGACGGUACCUGGAGAAGAAGCACCGGCUAACUACGUG
RNAcentral lists this ribosomal RNA (466 nucleotides) under uncultured bacterium. RNAcentral describes it as "partial 16S ribosomal RNA". It matches the Rfam family "Bacterial small subunit ribosomal RNA", at positions 28 to 507 of the family's 1533-position model. The record is from RNAcentral.